Molecule: ribosomal RNA, 351 nt
Filed under: uncultured Streptococcus sp.
Lineage: Bacteria; Bacillati; Bacillota; Bacilli; Lactobacillales; Streptococcaceae
Description: bacterial SSU rRNA
Rfam family: Bacterial small subunit ribosomal RNA
Source: RNAcentral
AGACAGGUGCUGCAUGGCUGUCGUCAGCUCGUGUCGUGAGAUGUUGGGUUAAGUCCCGCAACGAGCGCAACCCUUGUCUUUAGUUGCCAUCAUUCAGUUGGGCACUCUAAAGAGACUGCCGGUGUCAAACCGGAGGAAGGUGGGAGUGACGUCAAAUCAUCAUGCCCCUUAUGACCUGGGCUACACACGUGCUACAAUGGUUGGUACAACGAGUUGCGAGUCGGUGACGGCGAGCUAAUCUCUUAAAGCCAAUCUCAGUUCGGAUUGUAGGCUGCAACUCGCCUACAUGAAGUCGGAAUCGCUAGUAAUCGCGGAUCAGCACGCCCGCGGUCGAAUACGUUCCCGGGCCUU